AUGGGAACAAACAAGACAACAAGUUUCUUGGCAUGUGAGUGCAAAGUUCGUAUCUCCACCUUUUCCGAGAGUUACCUGGAGUGAAGCCAGGACAGGGUGAAAAACAGAAUGAACGAAGCCAUGCCCGAAAACAGAGGUAAGCCCUGAGUACUUUACCCCUGCUCCCUGGGCUAAGCCUCAGGUGUAUUUCUAACAGACACCAGCAUUUUCCACUGCUUUCCCAGGCAGCUCCUGACAUAAGAGACAGGGAUUUGUACAGAGAAGAAGAAAAACUACAAGGAACCGGCAACAGGAGAAACCAGGAAGGAUGUUUUAUUCUGUCUAGACAAUCUACAUUCAAGACAUAAGAAAAGGAAGUAGCAGACACCCUGCUUGGGCUUGUGCACCGUGUGGCUUGGCCCUGAUCCCUGACAAUGGUCUGGCCAUUGAGUGUGAAAAGUCAGACCCCUGUGAUCUACUUCAGCUUAAAAACUGCACCUUAUUGAAGACAGCACGAGGAACAGUACAGGGGAGAGAUCAAGCACACAUGUGAAUGUCACAUUCAUUUGUUCUGUGAUUCUACAAACACGCUGAGAAGAAUGAAUCCCAGCAGUGGUACAGAAAUCUGUCUGCAUUGUGGAGAAAAGAAAUGUGGUGACCUCAUUUUUCAUAAGCUGUAUUGCUAUGACCUCUACAUCCCAUCUGCACCUGCACCACGGAACAAGGAGCAGACAGAUGUUGACAGCUUCAUUAAUGAGAAGAUUGUUGAAGUCCUGGAGAAAGAUGGUUACUGCUGUUACCAUGGCUGCAGGAAUUUUGUUGGUGGAGAUACCAUCAUACAGGCCAUACAGAAACCCAUGAAGAUUAUCCCUGUUACACUUAUACCUGUCUACAAAGACCAGUACUCUCUAACUCUUUUAGACAUGCUUGUAACUGCAGAUAAACUGAGGAGGAUCAUACUGCUGUUGUUUGAUGCCACCCAAAUUAAGCCCGAUCUAUGGCAAUGUUGUUUUUCAGUAGAAGCAAAAGACCCCAAACUUUUGGAUAAAAUAAAGAAAACUAUAGAUCGUCGUAGAAAACGGUCAUCACGGAGAACGAAACAAAUAGUGUCAAGAGAAAUAGACACAGG
RNAcentral lists this long non-coding RNA (1108 nucleotides) under Numida meleagris (helmeted guineafowl). RNAcentral's name for it is "lncRNA (ENSNMEG00000002661.1)". Lineage: Eukaryota; Metazoa; Chordata; Aves; Galliformes; Numididae. The record is from RNAcentral.